ACGUUAGCGGCGGACGGGUGAGUAACACGUGGGUAACCUACCUAUAAGACUGGGAUAACUCGGGAAACCGGAGCUAAUACCGGAUAAUAUUUCGAACCGCAUGGUUCGAUAGUGAAAGAUGGUUUUGCUAUCACUUAUAGAUGGACCCGCGCCGUAUUAGCUAGUUGGUAAGGUAACGGCUUACCAAGGCGACGAUACGUAGCCGACCUGAGAGGGUGAUCGGCCACACUGGAACUGAGACACGGUCCAGACUCCUACGGGAGGCAGCAGUA
Molecule: ribosomal RNA, 272 nt
Filed under: uncultured Staphylococcus sp.
Lineage: Bacteria; Bacillati; Bacillota; Bacilli; Caryophanales; Staphylococcaceae
Description: partial 16S ribosomal RNA
Rfam family: Bacterial small subunit ribosomal RNA
Source: RNAcentral